ACUCUCAUAGCUCUAUAAAACCGGCUGCAUUCAUUCAUCUUCUGAUCAAAUUCAUUGUGAAGCUCAUACCUAGGACACUGACUUUUUCUUUUUCUUUUUUCUUUUGGACAGGCAGAGUGGACAGUGAGAGAGAGAGAGACAAGAGAGAGAGAAAGGUCUUCCUUUUCUGUUGGUUCACCCCGCAAUGGACACUGCCGCUGGCGCACCAUGCUGAUCCGAAGCCAGGAGCCAGGUGCUUUCCCCUGGUCUCCCAUGUGGGUGCAGGGCCCAAGCACUUGGACCAUCCUCCACUGCACUCCCGGGCCACAGCAGAGAGCUGGACUGGAAGAGGAGCAUCCAAGGCAGAAUCCGGCACCCCGACCAAGACUAGAACCCGGGGUGCCAGUUCCACAGGCAGAGGAUUAGUCUAUUGAGCUGCAGUGCCGGCCUCUGGCUUUUUCUAAAGGCAGAAGGUGUGCAGUCCUGAGUCUUGCCCUUUAUUAUCUGUGCCAAGUAAGUUACUUGACUUCCUUCAGCCUCACUAUUUCCAUCAGUAAAAUGGGAUUAACAGUCCCAUUUUAGCUUAUAGGACUGACUUGCAAAUCAUGUGAGACAAAACAGGUGAAAAGACUUUUUGUCACUGACCAUGUUGUGUAAUAGUAGCUACGAUUAUGAUUAAUGCUCUUUCUUGAUGGUUCCAAGCUUUGUCCCCUCCUUUCACUCACACAUUGGCAGCAGCUUUGGAUUCUGCAAGAUCUUCUCAUAAAAAGACUGAGGUCAAUCUGAAUACAUAUUCCAGGAUUCGAAUAAAUCACUAAGGAAAAUGCAAGGAAGCAGGAAGCCUGCCAAUGACUCAGGACAGUCCAUGUUUUAUAAAAACUUGUUUCAACUGUAAAAGUCAUCCUCUUCAUGGCAUGAAGCCUGAGAAACCAAGAAGAAAAAGACGCCCUGGAGCAGGGGCUAUGUCUCAGUUGCCUGCAUCUACAGCGCCUAACAAGUGUCAGCCCUUCGAGGAGCUCUAUAGAUGUUCACGAGGAGUGCAUUUUUUGGAGACCCACAAGAAUUCAUUGCACAAGAAUCUCCACUGCUGUGCUGCUCCCAGAGAUCAGGGCAUUGCCCACUGGUCAGAAACACUGGGCGCUCUGCAGAAUACUCCAGUGGGUGCAGUGAGGUCAUUGAAAAUUGUCUGUGGAACACCGAUGUACAGCAUCACUCACUGAAAACUGUCAAACACUGAUGUCCAGCAUUACAACACUCAGAAGGCAGAAAUAACAGCUACCAUGCACCAGUAGAAGGAUGGAUGAACAAAAUGGG
Molecule: long non-coding RNA, 1293 nt
Filed under: Oryctolagus cuniculus (rabbit)
Lineage: Eukaryota; Metazoa; Chordata; Mammalia; Lagomorpha; Leporidae
Description: lncRNA (ENSOCUG00000035504.1)
Source: RNAcentral